UGGGACACUCUGUAUAGUGGCUUGUCUAUUCAUAAAUCUGCUGAAAAAUGUUGCUUCAGAAAAAUAUAGAUAUAACCUUUCGAAACCUUUCUGCAACAGACACCGUUACAUUAGUGGACACAUUUAAUGGUCACGUGUUAGUGUUUGUUAUAGGCAAAUUGCACUGUGUACGAUGUGUGAUAAUAAUUUUAUAAAUUGGCGAAAAAUUUAAAAAUUAAUGAAAACUACUGAAUUUUAAAUCUAACAGGUGUCCUAGAAUAUAUUGUAUCAUUAUAUAAU
This is a non-coding RNA of Cinara cedri, 279 nucleotides long. The record is from the annotation of a GenBank genome assembly. NCBI's taxonomy places the organism in Eukaryota, Metazoa, Arthropoda, Insecta, Hemiptera, Aphididae.